This is a long non-coding RNA of Camelus dromedarius (Arabian camel), 1844 nucleotides long. RefSeq lists it as uncharacterized. NCBI's taxonomy places the organism in Eukaryota, Metazoa, Chordata, Mammalia, Artiodactyla, Camelidae. The record is from RefSeq and is a predicted model, not a curated record. The transcript is spliced from 5 exons.
AACGCGGAGGCUCCUCGGAGCAGUGGCCGCCGCGCCGGAGGUGGGGGCGUGCCGGGCGGGCAGCCCUUCGGCCUCCUGCGUGGCCCCUCACCCCCCUGGAGAAGUGCGGGUUGGGGGUGGUGCGUUUGGAAACAGCGACCGGCGCUGCCUCGGGCAUGUGCCCUUGAGGCGCCGGUGCGCACAGCGUCCCCUGGCGCCCAGGGAAGUGGAGAGAGCCACUUCCGGGAAGAGGGGCGGGGCGCAGCCGGCUCAGCCGAGAAAGGCUGUUGGGGGCGUCGGAGGCCUGGAAAGAGUCCCUGGGGCACAGCUCACGCGGGCUGCUGGGGCGCAUCCUCCUUCUGAGGCGACCAGAGUGAAGCGGGGCGGCCUGUGGGAUCCAGAGCCCAGGACUGAGGUGGCGCCCGACUGAGUUGAGGGGAGGGCUGCUGGGCCCUCACACCUGCCCCGCAGGUACAUUUAAGUCUGCUGUGGUCUUCCCUCAAGUUCUGAUCUCGUCCUCUCCGCGAAAGCAACCACUGACACAAAUUUGGGGUGCUGCUAGUUUAUUGGACUCAAAGAAGGAAUGUUACAUCUGCCCCCUUUAAGCUUCUUGUUUUAUUCAGCUCAUCAAUACAACCUGCUAAGAUACUUGUGAGAUCCUCAGGAGCAGAGCCGGAGCCUUGUAUCCCCUCUGCACCAGCACAGGUGCCUGGAAUUCAGUGAUGCUCAGUGGAGGCUCACUAGGAAACAGCAAUACAUUGAAUGCAACCGAGGCCUCUUCAGAGAUUUGCCCCCUACUGAGACUUCCAAGCACGAAAAUAUUUAUAUUCUCCCCUUUCAGCAUUGAUGCGCGGACCGCAGAGAACAGAGAGAAAUAACCUGCAAAUAAAACACCCUAGGAAAAGCCCAGCUAUCACACUGAUAUAGCAAAAAAUGGAAGAGCACUGCCAGCAGUCUGGGAAAUGGAGAGCAGAGUCGGCGCCGUAAACCCGUCGUUCGUUCCGGUGCAGGCCUUGCUGCUCCGCGUGUCUGUGCUCACGCGCAGGAGCUGUGUGUCGCUGCAGCUGUGAUCCGCGCGCCUACACUCCGUCACCUGCCUUCUCCACCUAACAUCAUGUCACGAGCGUUUCUCGAUGUUGUACAUCGUCUUUAUAAUUACUUCAAAUGAUGGUAAAAUAUUUCAUUCAUGAUUCUACUGCUGAAUACUUAGGUUGCUUGUAAUUUUUUCCCUUUGCUCAUUUUCAUGAAUUAAGAAAUGUAAGAUAUUUCACCCAGUGCUUGGUAGAAUGUACGUAUUUAGUCGGUAGAUAAUUUCUUUCCCAUCUCUCUCCUUCAUCUAUGUCUUUGUAUCUGGGCUUUUCCUUAGGAUAAAGGUUCCUUAGGGUUCAAAAGUUUAAAUAGUUGUGUGGCUUUUCACACACGCUGCUACCAUGUUAUUUUAUUAAUUACAAUGAUGAUAAUGUAAAUAGCUCCACAGUUACACAUAUCGUCUCACAAAAUCCUCUCACAUCUCUAAGGGGGUAGCCACGACCUCGUUUUAGAUAAGAAAGCAGAGGCCUACAAUUGUAAGUAAUUUGCCCAGUGUCCAUGUUGGUUCUGUUGCCUUUUUUCUCCCCAGGGUCUGGUACAAUGCCUGGUGCAUGGAAUGACUUUCAUAAAUAUUUGCUGAAUGAAGUUCACAAAUGGGAGUGUCAUGACUCAAACCGAGAUCUGGUUCACUUCAAAGCCUAUGCUUUUUCAUAAUGCAAAAGAAUUUUUAAAAAUGUGUAUAUAUGUGUGUGUGUAACUGAAUCGCUUUGCUGUAAGCCUGAAACUAACAUUGUAAAUCAACUACACUUCAAUAAAAAUUAGAAGUUUUGAAAAUG